GGGUGGAAUAUUUCAAAAAAAAUAUAUCCUAUGAUAUUUCAGAUUAGAUCUAAUUUUUAUUAUCUGAUAUUAAAUCUAAAAUUAAAUCUAAAAUCAUGAGAAAUAGAGAAAUACCUCUAGGGUAACUAGAUUAUCCUAUAGAUGAUCGCAGCAAUGCCCGAGGUUCCAAAAUAGUCACGCAGUCGCCUGAUCUCUACCGAUAUCCACUCAAGCAGGAUCUGGAUCGUCUUCUUCUCAUGAAUUUUUUCUCCAAAAAUUAGAUCUAGAUCUGAUCUGGAAGAUCUUCUGAAGCUG
Molecule: long non-coding RNA, 294 nt
Filed under: Elaeis guineensis (African oil palm)
Lineage: Eukaryota; Viridiplantae; Streptophyta; Magnoliopsida; Arecales; Arecaceae
Description: long non-coding RNA (EGUI_LNC066884)
Source: RNAcentral